GGCCAGACUCCUACGGGAGGCAGCAGUGGGGAAUAUUGCACAAUGGGGGAAACCCUGAUGCAGCGACGCCGCGUGAGUGAAGAAGUAUUUCGGUACGUAAAGCUCUGUCAGCAGGGAAGAAAAUGACGGUACCUGACCAAGAAGCCCCGGCUAACUACGUGCCAGCAGCCGCGGUAAUACGUAGGGGGCAAGCGUUAUCCGGAAUUACUGGGUGUAAAGGGAGCGUAGACGGUAAUGUAAGUCUGGAGUGAAAGGCGGGGGCCCAACCCCCGGACUGCUCUGGAAACUAUGUUACUGGAGUGCAGGAGAGGUAAGCGGAAUUCCUAGUGUAGCGGUGAAAUGCGUAGAUAUUAGGAGGAACACCAGUGGCGAAGGCGGCUUACUGGACUGUAACUGACGUUGAGGCUCGAAAGCGUGGGGAGCAAACAGGAUUAGAUACCCCGGUAC
Molecule: ribosomal RNA, 447 nt
Filed under: uncultured bacterium
Lineage: Bacteria
Description: bacterial SSU rRNA
Rfam family: Bacterial small subunit ribosomal RNA
Source: RNAcentral